This 206-nucleotide long non-coding RNA is filed under the name Trifolium pratense (red clover). RNAcentral describes it as "long non-coding RNA (TPRA_LNC012782)". Lineage: Eukaryota; Viridiplantae; Streptophyta; Magnoliopsida; Fabales; Fabaceae. The record is from RNAcentral.
GCAGUAGAUAUGAAUAUGAUUCAUAAAUGAAGAGGAGUCACAUUCAACUUUUAGGUGUCAUUUAACAUGGAAAAGUAGUAAAGUUUCCCACCAUGGGCAAAUUGGUUUAUUACCUUUGGAUCAAAAAAGGAACACACAUUUAUGAUAGUCUCUCAACACUAUAUUAUUUUUCACUUUAUCUUUUAAACUAUCUUCCACCACUAUCC